CCCUUAGAUGUCCGGGGCCGCACGCGCGCUACACUGAAGGAAUCAGCGUGGCUUUCUCCCUGACCCGAAAGGGUUGGGAAACCCGUUGAAUCUCCUUCGUGAUAGUGAUUGGGGCUUGAAAUUGUUCCCCAUGAACGAGGAAUUCCCAGUAAGCGCGAGUCAUAAGCUCGCGUUGAUUACGUCCCUGCCCUUUGUACACACCGCCCGUCGCUACUACCGAUUGAACGGUUUAGUGAGGGCCUCGGAUUGGUCUCGGCCCGCUCUUUACCGGGCGGCGCCGUUGGUCGAGAAGACGCUCGAACUUGAUCGUUUAGAGGAAGUAAAAGUCGUAACA
RNAcentral lists this ribosomal RNA (334 nucleotides) under uncultured eukaryote. RNAcentral's name for it is "partial 18S ribosomal RNA". It matches the Rfam family "Eukaryotic small subunit ribosomal RNA", at positions 1470 to 1796 of the family's 1831-position model. The record is from RNAcentral.